UACGUAGGGUGCGAGCGUUAAUCGGAAUUACUGGGCGUAAAGCGUGCGCAGGCGGUUUUGUAAGCCAGAUGUGAAAUCCCCGGGCUUAACCUGGGAAUGGCAUUUGGGACUGCAAGGCUGGAGUGUGGCAGAGGAGACUGGAAUUCCCGGUGUAGCAGUGAAAUGCGUAGAUAUCAGGAGGAACACCGAUGGCGAAAGGCAGGUCUCUGGGCUGACACUUGACGCUCAUGCACGAAAGCGUGGGGAGCAAACAGG
RNAcentral lists this ribosomal RNA (255 nucleotides) under uncultured bacterium. RNAcentral describes it as "partial 16S ribosomal RNA". It matches the Rfam family "Bacterial small subunit ribosomal RNA", at positions 524 to 776 of the family's 1533-position model. The record is from RNAcentral.